AAGUCGUAACAAGGUUUCCGUAGGUGAACCUGCGGAAGGAUCAUUAUCGAAUUUAAAGCUUGGUUGAGCUGUCGCUUCGGCGUACGUGCUCGCCUCGCCGUCCAUUCUCAACACCUGUGCACACUCAAGUCUUCUUCCGUUUCUCUUCUUGCCGGUACUGCUUCUCUUCACGGAGGAGUGGGAAAGUGAAAGGGGGAAUUGGGGGAAUGGCUGCCUUUUAACACACCCUUCUUUUAAAAUGUCUAUGAACGUCAAAUGUAGGCUCGCCUUAAAAACGUGAUGCUGAAAUUAAAAAUUAUACAACUUUUAACAACGGAUCUCUUGGCUCUC
Molecule: unclassified non-coding RNA, 330 nt
Filed under: Typhula variabilis
Lineage: Eukaryota; Fungi; Basidiomycota; Agaricomycetes; Agaricales; Typhulaceae
Description: partial internal transcribed spacer region
Rfam family: Eukaryotic small subunit ribosomal RNA (bases 1-46)
Source: RNAcentral